This 556-nucleotide ribosomal RNA is filed under the name Acinetobacter baumannii. RNAcentral describes it as "partial 23S ribosomal RNA". It matches the Rfam family "Bacterial large subunit ribosomal RNA", at positions 213 to 819 of the family's 2925-position model. Lineage: Bacteria; Pseudomonadati; Pseudomonadota; Gammaproteobacteria; Moraxellales; Moraxellaceae. The record is from RNAcentral.
UAGGAAAAGAAAUCAAUUGAGAUUCCCUCAGUAGCGGCGAGCGAACGGGGAUCAGCCCAUUAAGUUAUGUGUGUUUUAGUGGAACGCUCUGGGAAGUGCGAACGUAGAGGGUGAUAUUCCCGUACACGAAAGGGCACACAUAAUGAUGACGAGUAGGGCGAGGCACGUGAAACCUUGUCUGAAUAUGGGGGGACCAUCCUCCAAGGCUAAAUACUCCUGACUGACCGAUAGUGAACCAGUACCGUGAGGGAAAGGCGAAAAGAACCCCUGUGAGGGGAGUGAAAUAGAUCCUGAAACCGCAUGCAUACAAGCAGUGGGAGCACCUUCGUGGUGUGACUGCGUACCUUUUGUAUAAUGGGUCAGCGACUUAUAUUCAGUAGCAAGGUUAACCGUAUAGGGGAGCCGUAGAGAAAUCGAGUCUUAAUAGGGCGUUUAGUUGCUGGGUAUAGACCCGAAACCAGGCGAUCUAUCCAUGAGCAGGUUGAAGGUUGGGUAACACUAACUGGAGGACCGAACCCACUGUCGUUGAAAAGCCAGGGGAUGACUUGUGGAUAGG